GGAGGGUUGCGAGCGUUGUUCGGAUUAACUGGGCGUAAAGGGAGCGCAGGGCGGUCGGAUAAGUCUGAAGUGAAAGCCCGGGGGCUCAACCUCGGAAGUGCUUUGGAUACUGUCUGACUUGAGUUCGUAAGAGGAGAGCGGAAUUCCAGGUGUAGCGGUGAAAUGCGUAGAUAUCUGGAGGAACACCGGUGGCGAAAGCGGCUCUCUGGUACGAUACUGACGCUGAGGCUCGAAAGCGUGGGGAGCGAACGGGAUUAGAUACCCCGGUAGUCCACGCCGUAAACGUUGUGCACUAGGUGUGAAAGGUAUUGACCCCUUUCGUGCCGUAGCUAACGCAUUAAGUGCACCGCCUGGGGAGUACGGUCGCAAGACUG
RNAcentral lists this ribosomal RNA (374 nucleotides) under uncultured organism. RNAcentral describes it as "partial 16S ribosomal RNA". It matches the Rfam family "Bacterial small subunit ribosomal RNA", at positions 526 to 896 of the family's 1533-position model. The record is from RNAcentral.